This 70-nucleotide transfer RNA is filed under the name Camelus bactrianus (Bactrian camel). It matches the Rfam family "tRNA". From Rfam's summary of the family: Transfer RNA (tRNA) molecules are approximately 80 nucleotides in length. Their secondary structure includes four short double-helical elements and three loops (D, anti-codon, and T loops). Lineage: Eukaryota; Metazoa; Chordata; Mammalia; Artiodactyla; Camelidae. RNAcentral also lists the same sequence under 2 other names. The record is from Rfam by way of RNAcentral.
GGAUAUAGCUCAGUGGUAGAGUGCUUCCUUGGCAAGCAAAAGGUCCUGAGUUCAAUCCCCAAUACCUCCA